RNAcentral lists this long non-coding RNA (3582 nucleotides) under Brassica napus (rape). RNAcentral's name for it is "long non-coding RNA (BNAP_LNC012836)". The record is from RNAcentral. Lineage: Eukaryota; Viridiplantae; Streptophyta; Magnoliopsida; Brassicales; Brassicaceae.
UGACAAUGGUUAAAUCUUCCAGAACUGGAGAGCCUGAGAUAAGUUUCUCCACAGUUGCCUCAGUGAGAUCUGUAAUGUAUUCUAAAUGCAUGAUCUUAAGGCAUGGUAAGGAAACAACCUCCAGGUUAGCCAAGACAACCCAACAAAGGCGUAAGUGCACCAGUGUCUUGCAUGUAUAUAGACUGACGGGCAUCGUAACAUCGCAACAAUAAGGGCCGUAAUAACAAACAUCGAGAUGCUGAACACUACGCCUAAUCGAAAUAUCAGUCCAUUUGGUGAGGAGGGACUUACAAUCAGAAUAAUGAACACUUAACCUUAUUUUGUCUAUCAUUGAUUCCCUGUGUGAAUCAAAAAAACUUCGAACAAAACUCACAAAGGUAUCCAUAUCCAAGAAUUCAAAGGAGUCUAAGUCCAAUCCACGAACACUCUUCCAGUGAUUAAUCCAUGUUCCGGACAAAACGCCUGUUCUUACAGCAUGCUUUGUAGGAACACGAAUAAGUAUGUCGCUUAUCAAAUCAUCGGGUAGUUGGCAUAUCCAUCUUCUUUGUGACCCUUUGUCACAUGUUUUUGCUUUUCUCUUUCGACCCACCAUCUUUUUUUUCGUCACACAACUAGUCUGCAUCAUCAAGUUUAAGACAAAUUAAACUGAAAUUUACAGACACAAUAUAAUCUAGUUUCCAAUCAAACACGAAAUAACGAUGCGUAGAAGUUUCGGUCAUAUAUGAAUUUCAACCAGCCUAGUCUAAAUGAUACCCUAAAGAGAUAGAUAGAGGGUCGAUGUUAGCACUGAAGAAGAAGAAGGCCGCCUUCAAGAAACAGUAAAAGAAGAAGAACGCACCUGAAUGGAGUUUUGAUCAGCACUGAAGAUCAAACCUCAUCGGCCGCCUUCACGUACGGUCAUGCUUUCUUAUCUGUAGCAGAUGAUUUGUGUAACGUAUAUAUAUGAGGGAUGAGGGAUAAGGGUAAAAGAUAGGAUUCUUUCGUGUGACCAGUAUGAGUUUAGGGUUUCUUUAUGAGAAAUGGGAAAUGGACACGUUGAAUGCAAAAACGCCUAGCAGUUUAUGGUUUGAUGAAAACGGUGCGUCGGGUUAGUGAUCCUAGAAACGACGUCGGUUCUUCGACAAAUCAAAUAUAUUGAUAUCAUAAAGAGUUUGCCAAAUGUAACCAUUUCAAUAUUACUACUGAUCCAAAUUUAGGAAUUUGUAACAAUUACGAUGAAAGAGAGGAGAGCAAAAAAAAAAAAUCAAUUUUAUUGUUGGUUUCUUAUUAAUAUAAAUAAUCAAAUAUAUCAUAUUAACUAAUUUUUAAGUGGUCUUACUAUGAAUUGUUAAUGGUUGAUAAAAAUAAGACCUAAAUUAAUAGAUUAGAUAUAGAUGAGUGGUUAAAAAUAUUGUUUUUGACUUUUUAGUUUAAGUAUUUUAUUUUCUGUAUUGUGAUUUUUCUUAGACUUUUGAAUGUCUUUGUUUUUAUUUUAUGUUCACAUUUUGUUUAUCUUUUUUGUUUUGGGCAACUGAUUUGUUAUAUAUUUUGUUUCUAUUAUCUUUGUUACUUAAUGUUAGAAUAUAACGGUUCAAGAAACUACCAUAAUGUGAUCUAUUAUCUGUUAAAAACUAAAUAUUACAGAUACAGUAUCAAUUAAUGGUCUACUAUUCAUCUAAUAUUUUCAUGCACGGCUAAACAAAAAUUUGUAUCUCUUAAAAAGAAAAUAUUGUAUAUAAAACAUAGAGUGAUUUACGUAGAAAUAUCAUUAAAUAACAGCCACUAUUUCUUUGUUGUAUGUCAUUAAAUAUUGUCAUUAAAUAAUAUUUUUUUUGAGAAAAUUAAUAGAUUUGACUUUUUCUCAAAGAAGAUUUAUAAAUAUUAUUUGGAAUCUGGUCAAUGUUAUACAACAAAGAAAUUUUUGAAAAAAGAAUUUGAAAUAUCUUCAAAAAGAAAAUAACCAAAUGGUGUUGCACAAGAAAAAACAAGAUGGAUUAGAAGAAAAGUUCAACAGAUUUUAAUCUUUGUGUUGUACACUUGUAUUGUUUUUUAAUCUUAUCUUUGCAAUUGAUUGUAUUUCUGUUAUUUUCUAUAUUUUUAUUGUAACUUUACAUUUUAUUUAAAUAAAAUAGUUGUUAAAAAACAAAUUUAAAAUAGGACCUCACUAUAAGUUCCCUCUACUACAUAACAUAACUAAUUUUGUUCAUGUCUACCGCAACAGCUUCGUGGGACUUGACAAACACUUUUUUUUUUUGAACUGAGGCUUAAACUUGACAAACACUUAACAAGCCAAAAACAAGAAAAAUAACAUAUUGAUAUAAAUAUCCCAAGUAACGCUUGAAUAAUUUGCGGAAAUGUUUAUAAAAUUCAAAAUAAAGUUUUAAAACGGUUAUUAAUACAUGAGAAAUAUUCCUCAAAUCAACCAGUUUUUAACAUCCAAAUUUACCUCAAAUGAAAUGUCUUUUUUUUCAGAGAACAAUGACUUCACAAGCGCUAGAACAUCUAGGCAAUGCAACGACUUCUUUAAGGAAAUCACGCAUGCCUUUUUUGGUAUAGUAAGUAUCAAGCCUUAGUUUCUCCAGGAUUGGUGAAUUCUUGAGGAAGUAUCUUACUAGCUCUACUUCUCCUUCAUACUUUGGGAUCAAACGUAUCAAUUCCACGACCUUGAGUGAUGACACCAAACACGGAGGCACUGUUGAAAACAUCAACUUCGGUUCUCUGUUCUUCUUAUAACUCGGGUCCUUGAUCAACUCCUGCAAAUACAUAAGAUAAAAAAAAUUGAGAAUAAAGUGGUAAAUUAAAAGCUGUUCACAUACAAUUUCCAUAACUCGAAGGGUUAUAAAGCAAUUCAUUACCAAUAUGAGAGAUUGUAGUUUCGGGCAGCUUUCAAGAAUUGAUGGCAACAUUUCAAGAUCGGAUUUAGAGAACUUAACAUGCAAACGGGAUAGGUCACGGAACUGAAGCAAUGGUCCCGGUUCGGAGUGUAGAAAGAUGUUCUGUAAAAGAGUAAAACAAAAACAAAAUGUUGGUUAGAAACUUUUUGAGAAAGAAUAUUAAAAGGAAUGCUCAAAAAUUAAAGGGUCUCAAAAUUAAAUAACAUGACUACCUUCAAAAUGUAACUACUUAUAACAAUGCCUCUGAACCUCGGAAUAUCGGUGAGGGUAUCACAAAUGAAUCUUUUGGUGCAAGUCAGACGAGGGAAGACCGCAUAAAUCUCUAGUGUGGUAGAGCAACCCAAAUUGAUGAUUUUGAAGUUCUUUGAUACGUAACCCCUAGUCUUCAAACACUCGAGUAGAGGAGCAUUAAUCACAACUUCUGUAUACGAAUCUAUGUGGAUUCUCUUGAGGGUAUUAGAGCGCAACUCUAUAAACCUUUCACCACGAGUUUCUCUGACAAUGGUUAAAUCUUCCAGAACUGGAGAGCCUGAGAUAAGUUUCUCCACAGUUGCCUCAGUGAGAUCUGUAAUGUAUUCUAAAUGCAUGAUCUUAAGGCAUGGCAAGGAAACAACCUCCAGGUUAGCCAAGACAACCCAACAAAGGCGUAAGUGCACCAGUGUCUUGCAUGUAUAUAGACUGACGGGCAUCGUAACAUCGCAACAAUAAG